ACUCAAAUGAAUUGACGGGGGCCCGCACAAGCGGUGGAGCAUGUGGUUUAAUUCGAUGCAACGCGAAGAACCUUACCAGGUCUUGACAUGGGAAGUUUGAGCGCCGGAGACGGUGUUCUUCAGUUCGGCUGGCUUCCACACAGGUGCUGCAUGGCUGUCGUCAGCUCGUGUCGUGAGAUGUUGGGUUAAGUCCCGCAACGAGCGCAACCCUCGCUUCCAGUUACCAUCAUUCAGUUGGGUACUCUGGAGGAACUGCCGGUGACAAGCCGGAGGAAGGUGGGGAUGACGUCAAGUCCUCAUGGCCCUUACGACCUGGGCUACACACGUGCUACAAUGGCGGUGACAAUGGGCUGCGACCCCGCAAGGGCGAGCUAAUCCAUAAAAGCCGUCUCAGUUCGGAUUGUACUCUGCAACUCGAGUGCAUGAAGUUGGAAUCGCUAGUAAUCGCGGAUCAGCAUGCCGCGGUGAAUACGUUCUCGGGCCUUGUACACACCGCCCGU
This 500-nucleotide ribosomal RNA is filed under the name uncultured bacterium. RNAcentral describes it as "partial 16S ribosomal RNA". It matches the Rfam family "Bacterial small subunit ribosomal RNA", at positions 899 to 1397 of the family's 1533-position model. The record is from RNAcentral.